Petromyzon marinus (sea lamprey) is the source of this 1750-nucleotide non-coding RNA. Lineage: Eukaryota; Metazoa; Chordata; Hyperoartia; Petromyzontiformes; Petromyzontidae. The record is from RefSeq and is a predicted model, not a curated record.
AUUUGGCGGAGCAGCCGAGUAAGUCAUCGACACCACCCUUGCCUGCGAGUGUGGGCCUGAUCGGGCUGCGGCGUGGCACAGGUCGUGAACCCCGCUGGGGCUCCACACUGCUCCCUCGACCUGCCGCCGUGACGAGUCACCGCAUUGUCGGAUGCACACGUUGGCGGCACGGAAUCGCUCAAGAUAAACGCGUGCAGCGGACAUCUCGUCCAUCUCAAUGGCCACCCAAGAUAUGGACCCUCUCAAAGGGCAGGUGCACUCGGGGACGUCACCUGCUUAGCAACAUCAGCCACGUCACCGCGGGAUUUUGGGGCCGCUGCGAAAUGUCAACUCCCUCGCCAGCAACGAAGGAAGAUAGCAACGGACGAGUCAAUUUGUCCUUCCAAAGGUCGGUGGGCUUUCUGCCACUUUGCCCAAACACCGAAGCGUCACGAAUUUCUCUGCGCGCAGGUCUCGGCAAUGGAAUCUUUUGACUAAGAGGUAGAAACAGAGCCACACAAUUGCCCCUUGAUCCACGUAGCCACCCACUAAGCCACUUGAGCCACCCUCUAAGCCAGAUAAUUACCCCCUGAGCCCCCACAGCCACAACACCCCGAGCCUCAGAUCUCAGGGGCUGCGUGAGCACAGGGAUGGGCUCAAAGUUAGCACUUGGAUGAGCAUCCACUGAAGAGAUGUUAGGUCCGCUGGGGGGGGUGGGCAGCGUCAGAUGCUCAGUGCACAGUAGGUGGCUCUCUCCCCUCUGGGCCACGGUUCAUUCCACCCAGUGCCCAAGGAUGGCACUGAUGAGUAUGGUGCUGCAGGAAGUGCUGUUCGGGGGGGGGAUGUGAAGACUUCUGCUAUGCUCUGCAGAUAACGUAGCUCCUGCGGUGCACUUCAUUAAAGCGGCUGGUGAUCGCUGUAGUGUCUCGGCUAAAAUGCCACUCGAUAAAAUAAACCUCACGAAAUGCAUAAUUAACGCUGCCAAAUAACAGCAUAAUAGUAGUUGGUUGAUUGAAUUGUUCAGAGUGGAGACAGCAGAUAAAUGUAAGAAUUUUACAGUCAGUAUAUAUGAAAACUGGCAAAACGUUUUUUGUUGUUGUCUAAUUCGGUCAAUAAUUCUGCCCUCUGCUCUGAAGAAGAGCCCUUGUCCAAAUGGAAUGAUGAUGAUGUGUGAUUUUUUUUUUUUAGGCAGCACUAUUGCCAAAUUUUAGUGAGUCUUGUUUGUAGGUCAGUGCAGGGUGGUGUAGGCAGUGGCCUGGGACCGGUGCCACUCACAUUAGCCAUGGUCGAGGAAUCGAACCCAUGUUGCCAGGUUGAUAUAGCAGCACACCGAACAUUACGCCACCACUCCCACCAAACAUGCAGUACGUGAUGUGAUAAAACCACGCGACUAACCUCCAAGCUGCGUGGAUAAAACCGUUCCCACCCUGCCACUCUCUGAGCUGCAAAGCGUUUCCCCUGAGCGAAUGCCAACUCCCCAGCGCGUUUCGUUUGUCGCAUCCGCGGGAACGUUUCGAAGGUCGGGUAAAUCACGAGCCGCUUUGGCACCGCCGAGAGAGCGUCCGGAUAAAUCUCCACUCGGGGAAGACCGAUAUGAGACUCACGUGAGCCUGGGAACGUCGCCUGAAUCUCGGGGGAUAAAAAUAAUAACUCGCGCCGCUGGCACGUGGCGUUCAUGAACAGGUGCGCUCGGCAACAGAAUAAUUUGUCUCGCCAAUUCGGGUCGCCGGUGCCCCGCUGUUUAAUAUUCAAUCCGGCGUUACCUCUCCGC